Molecule: non-coding RNA, 86 nt
Organism: Lactarius indigo
Lineage: Eukaryota; Fungi; Basidiomycota; Agaricomycetes; Russulales; Russulaceae
Source: the annotation of a GenBank genome assembly
UCGGAUAUGGUGUAACGGUCAACAUUACCGCCUCUCAAGGUUUGCCUAGGCCGCGGUAGCUCGGGGUUCGAUUCCCCGUAUCCGAA